CAAUUGUUCACCUGUGUCUUAUACAAAGAAAAGUAUGGUAAUUUUCUUUCAAAGUAUAACAUGUGAUAAAUUUCUAAUCAUUCUUCGGGAGUUUCUCCCAGAGGUUUAGGUCUAUGUUAUGCCCUAUAUCCAUUGCUCAGUGUGUCAUUGAAGUUUUGACUAACUCGUCUUUCAUUUCCCAUUCUAAUAAUAAGUUAUACAUUUUUGACAAUAAUUUAUCCUUGUUCCACAAUAAUUCUCUUUCAAACUGUGAGCUUCAAUCCGGAAACCCAUUUUUAAAAUCUAAUUUAAACAUAUCAUAUAUUUGAUGAUACUGUAAUCAAUUCUUACUUCUUCCAUUGCAUAGUUCUACUGCUGCCUUUGCCGUGAACCAAUCCAAGACUAUUGAGUCCACAACAUAUGAUAGAACAUACCCUCAGUCUCAUUGCAUCUCUAAAGAAAAUGCAGAGUCUUCUCAACCAGCCCAUAAGAGCGCUGCUGGGACUGUUGAAAGGCCUGCCUAAUCAAGUGGCAAGCCAGAGGGCUACUGGAAGCCCACAAGGAAGACUUGAAUGCCACAGCUCACUUUCACUCUCCAGCAACUGAUUUCCAGAGGAAUACUUCCUCUGAUGGCCCUCACAAUUAUAGCCAGUGACAACCUUAUCCUCCAAAAAUUUGCCUAAUCCUGUGUCAACAGCUUCUUUAUUUCUGUCCUGAAUCUCCCAUGACUCAAUUUCAAUGGAAGGUCUAAAAAUGUCUUGCUAUCUGGACAGAAUAAGUAAUAAUAAUGAAAGUUUCAGGCAGCAGAAGACUGGCUGGGUCUCUUAUUGAAAUCAAUGGAAAGUUUAAACAAUAUGCACUUUAAUGGGUUGCCUGUAAAAUGGGCAGAUUUCAGGUUUUCUGAAAUCUGAGACAGCCAGUUAUUUGCAAGGGUAAGAGAACGUCUAAAAUGUUCACCUUGCUUUGUGGAUGAAAAACACAAGAUUUACAGGCUGUAGAAGAGAAGCUGGAUCUCCUACUGAAUUCAGUGGGAGGAAACCCAGUGAAUGAAAUUGAAAUGAAUGGGGGGCAAUCAAACAAAUGGGAGUUUUUGAAACAAGAACUUUUCUUUUUCUUGGAUAUCUCUGACAUGGGAUGGGUAAGCUGCCUUCGUCUACUCUAUAGCGUGUUGACUGAUAAAACUUGCAAAGCUACAUGGAGCCAUUUAUUCUGCAGGCACCACUUCAAAAACACUAGAUUGUAUUUGAUCUUCUGUGAUGAACCAACUAUUGUGAAGCAACUGCUCGUGCAAAUAUUAAGAGCUGGAGUGUCUCUCAAAGCCCAGGGGUGAGGAGUCUUGGCCCUCCAGAUGUUGCUCUGAUCAGUCCUAGCAGGCAUGGCCAACAGCCAAGGAUGAUGGGAGUUCAGCAACAUCUGCUGUAGCCCUAGUAACCCUCAUAGAUUUGUCACCAAAAAAUUCACUCUGGUUUCCAAACACAAUAUGCACGCUGGUUCCCUUUGCCACUUUGCUUGGCAAACUCGCUUCCUGCACACACCAACUUUGGGGCACAGGGGUUCUUCUUUUUCAAGCGCCUAAACCUUGCGUCUCCUUCAUUUCUGCCUGUGAUGGUUAGAAUGCUGGACUUCAGAGUCCUGGAUUCAAAUCCUGAUCCAGCUACAAAGCUUACUAGAUGACCCUGGGCUGGUUCCUGUCUCUCAACCUAACCUUACUUUGCAGAGUUGUCCUGAUGCGACGCCGGGAAGAUCGUGCGUGCCACCCUGAGCUCUUUGCAGUGGGAUUAAAACGGUAUAUAGAGAAGACAGGUUUUCUGUCCCCACAGCUCUAUGGCCCAGGAGGAGGGGAAAUGGAACCCAGAUAUUCUCAUCCCCAUGAAAACAACGGAAGCUCGUUGACAGAAGGAGGGAACUUGCUAUGGCUGCCCUGGCGACUUUCUCCCCCUUUCACCAGCUCUUUCUGAAGCAUGCAUAGAAAAACUCCUCCAGGGUUUCCUUCUUACUUGUCACUCCAAGCUCCAGUCCACUCCACCUCCCCCCACGGGUUUCGCAUCCGUAUCAGGUUAACCCUCUGCCCUCGGUAGUUGAUCUGUGGGAGCAGAGAGAUAAUGAGAGAUGGCCGUUAAGAGAUUGUCACAGAGGAAGGAAAGAACAAGGCUGCACUUGACCUGACCACAUUAUUGACCCUGCCCUGUUUUCAAAUAGUCUGAAUAGCUUCCCAGUGGCAAUGAGUUCCAGAUGGCUUCUGUGGGAAAAUGACAAUGUCCCUGUGACUCUGGACAAAUAGAAAAAAUAGAGCAUGUGCUUCUCCAGUGCCUAUAUUAUAGGGACAUUCAUAUUAGCCUCAUCUCUCCACUACUCCAUAAGUACCCAGGGCGCACAGAACAAUUCUAUACCUCCCUGCUGCUUUCAAGAUCCCAACCCUGCUACAACAUACGACGUUGCCAGGUUCUGCAUAGCAGCAUUCAAAAUUCGUCGGAUGAUGACCUGUGCCACAAACUAGAUUUAAUGAACACCCAUAUCAGAGCGCUCUGUAAAUGGAUAGCCAUAGCCCUUUAUAUACUAACCUUUUAUGCUCUUCCACGUUCGUUUAAUGCUCCAGUCCUAACCCUUCUUUUAGCCUCUUUUAGAUUCUUGUAGGCUUUUAUAUAUACCUUCUGUUUUAAUAAUUUUAGCUUUCCAAAACAUUUUACAGAUUUUAAAUGAUUGUUCCCCACCCUACUUAUGCUGGUCUAUAACUGUAAUAAAGAUCUGAUUGAUUGAUUGA
Long non-coding RNA from Podarcis raffonei (Aeolian wall lizard), 2740 nucleotides. RefSeq lists it as uncharacterized. Lineage: Eukaryota; Metazoa; Chordata; Lepidosauria; Squamata; Lacertidae. The transcript has 2 exons. The record is from RefSeq and is a predicted model, not a curated record.